This 562-nucleotide ribosomal RNA is filed under the name Teratosphaeria eucalypti. Its description in RNAcentral is "SSU rRNA". It matches the Rfam family "Eukaryotic small subunit ribosomal RNA", at positions 569 to 1134 of the family's 1831-position model. The record is from RNAcentral. Lineage: Eukaryota; Fungi; Ascomycota; Dothideomycetes; Mycosphaerellales; Teratosphaeriaceae.
AGCAGCCGCGGUAAUUCCAGCUCCAAUAGCGUAUAUUAAAGUUGUUGCAGUUAAAAAGCUCGUAGUUGAACCUUGGGCCUGGCUGGCCGGUCCGCCUCACCGCGUGUACUGGUCCGGCCGGGCCUUUCCUUCUGGGGAGCCGCAUGCCCUUCACUGGGCGUGCCGGGGAACCAGGACUUUUACUUUGAAAAAAUUAGAGUGUUCAAAGCAGGCCUUUGCUCGAAUACAUUAGCAUGGAAUAAUAGAAUAGGACGUCGCGGUCCUAUUUUGUUGGUUUCUAGGACCGCCGUAAUGAUUAAUAGGGAUAGUCGGGGGCAUCCGUAUUCAAUUGUCAGAGGUGAAAUUCUUGGAUUUAUUGAAGACGAACUACUGCGAAAGCAUUUGCCAAGGAUGUUUUCAUUAAUCAGUGAACGAAAGUUAGGGGAUCGAAGACGAUCAGAUACCGUCGUAGUCUUAACCAUAAACUAUGCCGACUAGGGAUCGGUGGAUGUUUCUAUAUUGACUCCAUCGGCACCUUACGAGAAAUCAAAGUUUUUGGGUUCUGGGGGGAGUAUGGUCGCAA